This 785-nucleotide long non-coding RNA is filed under the name Cyanistes caeruleus (blue tit). RNAcentral describes it as "lncRNA (ENSCCEG00000022751.1)". Lineage: Eukaryota; Metazoa; Chordata; Aves; Passeriformes; Paridae. The record is from RNAcentral.
UAGUGGGAUUUGGUCCAUUAGAACAAAUCAGACAACUUUCUGAAAGGGAUUUGAAUCACCAUAUUAAUAUAGUACAUAAUAGAUAUUUGUGAAGAAUCAGUCUUGUAACAAAUACUGAAAGCUCCUCCACUCUCCACUCCAGUUCUAAUUUUUUUCUCCUUAAUUUUCUUUUUGCUUCCUCAAACAUGCACUUGUGAAGAAAACAGUAGUACACAGCUACCAGACAUCAUCUAGGCAAGGCAGCUCAAUGGUUUCUUGAUCCUUAGAGCUUUUGAUAUGUAUCUGCUAGUGUGUAUGUGUAAUUCUCAUAAAUACAUUUAGAAGUAAAGUUCUGUUUCUUUCUUGUAAUCUCAGGAAAUACUUUUGAGAAGUGUUUGAAUGUAGGUGUUCAAAAGCUGUGAUCAAAACCGAUAGAAAAGACAACAAAGCUUUAAGAAAGUUUUUAGCACACACUCAAGAGGCCCAAGAAAAGGAAGAAAUAAGAGAAACAAAGAGUGGCAUGUGAGAGAAAACUGAAAAAUUCACAUAUUGGAAAACUUUAUGAUCCAAUCUGAUGAAAAUACUCUGAGAAUAUCUCAAUUUAGAGCUUCUGAAAAUAUAAGAUCUUCUUUAAACAUAUUUUGAUUCCUGUUCCUUCCAAGUAUUUUGGCUUCAGAAGAUUUCUGUAGAGUUUAAAAAAUGCCAUUUCAUUCUCUGUGUCUGAGAGUUUCAAAAGUAUGUCCAGUUAUUCAAUAUGUCCAAAUGUAAACCCUGAGAUUAAAUAAAUUCAGAACAAUGAUGACUCA